Molecule: non-coding RNA, 1920 nt
Organism: Podarcis lilfordi (Lilford's wall lizard)
Lineage: Eukaryota; Metazoa; Chordata; Lepidosauria; Squamata; Lacertidae
Source: the annotation of a GenBank genome assembly
GUUUGGAAAUCGGGCGAGUGGAAGCCGCGAAAGCCUUUGCUUCCUACGCCCCUGUUGCACAAAACACGGAGGCAGCGCAAUCCUAAACGCAUUCGCAUCCCCGCGGCUGGCAAUCCGCUGCCUCCAGCGCUUUUGCAACCAGCCAGCUUGUUUGCGCCGAUCUCUGCUGGUUUUUAAUGCCCGGUUCCAGACUAGAUAAUCCAAACAGAAAUAAAACGUAACCAGUUCAGUGUGUGCAACACAAGCUAUCCCCGAGCAUCAUCACCUGUUUUCAAAAGGUGUGUGAGAAAGGAUAGCUAGAAAUGCAGGUGUUUAAUUUCCAGUGCGGUAGCCCCGGGAGUGUCUCCCAGCAAAAAAGUGGUAUAAGCUUUCCUGGACUACAUAGAACUAGAGUCCACUAAAAAUACCAUAAUAAACGGGCUAGUUUUUGUGGUUGCACAAGACUCUUCGAAUUUUUAAUUUUAAUUUUAAUUUUUUUGCAGAUAUACUGUAUAAUAAAUUUCCUGGUUCUCAUUAUCUAGCAAACUCCACUGAACACCUGAGCAAGAACUUCCCGCUUGCUUGCAACUUCUGUGAGCUGCUUCGCACGGUAGUCGGGCCUAUGGAGAGAGAAGCUCCCAUUUUCUGAAACCUAGCAGUGAAAACCAGCUAUUAGAUGCAUCUCCUGUACCAGCAGCCAGCUCUGUAGGUAGCCUAAAAUGUGGAGCAACUUUCCUAUGUGUGCCUUAACAGCAAGCAAAAGCCCUAGCCAGAUCAAAAACCCCGCCAGAUCAAUCUUCAUAUGCAGCCCUUAUGGUGUAAACAUGAGAAAUAUGAGCGGGGUAACUGAACAUGAAUGCAAAUCACACUGUCACAGUAAUAAACUACCUGAAACAUUGACACACAAAAGCAACACCAUAUGUAUGAAGACAACCUGUAUGAAUUAUAAAUUACAUCAUAAAAAUUGAUUGCCUAUUUUAACCAUUCAGAAACACACAGACACACACACACCCCAAACUGCUGUUGACUGUCUUCAUGCUCCCCUUGGAAGGUCACCUCAGCCUCCCUGCCUGCAGAUGAUCUCAGGUAUUUUGCAAAGCCAAUGCACAUUUUGGCUUCUGCCAUGGGCCCAUUUUUAAUGCAAUUGAGGAAUUAUGAUUCAGAUUUAAACAGGUAUGCUGAAUCAAGAAUUCUUAAUUAUAUGAAGCAGUUUCCUUUAACACACACACACACACACACACACACACCACUAUCCCCCUGUACUAUUUAAGUUAAUUGGAACCUGUUCAUUGGUGUAACCCAGGACAAGCUUUUGAGUGAAACAGAUUCCUUUCACUUUUACACAUUGAGGCCACUAAGGACAAUUUUAUAAUGCAAUUAAUAGCAUCACCUAGUCGCUACUGGUUAUUAAAAAAAAGUUCAGCAGCCGAGAGUGAGUUUGCUCCUGGCUCAACCAACUGGUGAUGGCUGUUUCCUGUUCGUGCCACACUUCCAAGGUGCCGCGUGCACAUUCUGCUCUUUUGUGAUUCCAUUUCAUGAGUGAGCUUACUAAGGUUUCCACCCCACAGCAGCCCAAGGCUGGGCAGGGAGCUUUCCAGACCUGCAAGAUCAAGGGUCACUCCACCAGACCAUCUUGAUCGUCGUGUGGCUUAGGUAGAUUGGAAAAGUUGCCAACCUGUUUGGAGUCUCGUGCUGAAUACUGGCUCGGUAUGAAAAUGGUUGUUAUUUAAUUCUUCUGUCCAACGAAUUACUAGAGCAGCUCACAGAAGCUACCGCUGUUUACCCUCCCUCCCUUUGAAUCUUCUGUUGUUGAAAUUUUAGACGGCAAGCUCCUGCGAGGGGAAGGGAGGCUUUGCUGCUCACAUUAUUCUGAAAUCUUUGCUGCUUAUGUUACUCUGUAAAGUGCUAUCUACAGCAAUGGGGCGAUGCUUAAGACUACCA